GAUGAACGCUGGCGGCGUGCUUAACACAUGCAAGUCGAGCGAAGCGCUUUGGAAAGAUUCUUCGGAUGAUUUCCUUUGCGACUGAGCGGCGGACGGGUGAGUAACGCGUGGGUAACCUGCCUCAUACAGGGGGAUAACAGUUAGAAAUGACUGCUAAUACCGCAUAAGACCACGGUACCGCAUGGUACAGUGGUAAAAACUCCGGUGGUAUGAGAUGGACCCGCGUCUGAUUAGGUAGUUGGUGGGGUAACGGCCUACCAAGCCGACGAUCAGUAGCCGACCUGAGAGGGUGACCGGCCACAUUGGGACUGAGACACGGCCCAGACUCCUACGGGAGGCAGCAGUGGGGAAUAUUGCACAAUGGAGGAAACUCUGAUGCAGCGACGCCGCGUGAAGGAUGAAGUAUUUCGGUAUGUAAACUUCUAUCAGCAGGGAAGAAAAUGACGGUACCUGACUAAGAAGCCCCGGCUAACUACGUGCCAGCAGCCGCGGUAAUACGUAGGGGGCAAGCGUUAUCCGGAUUUACUGGGUGUAAAGGGAGUGUAGACGGCACGGCAGGCCUGAUGUGAAAGCCCGGGGCUCAACCCCGGGACUGCAUUUGGAACUGCUGAGCUAGAGUGUCGGAGAGGCAAGUGGAAUUCCUAGUGUAGCGGUGAAAUGCGUAGAUAUUAAGAGGAACACCAGUGGCGAAGGCGGCUUGCUGGGCGAUGACUGACGUUGAGGCUCGAAAG
RNAcentral lists this ribosomal RNA (731 nucleotides) under uncultured Lachnospiraceae bacterium. RNAcentral's name for it is "bacterial SSU rRNA". It matches the Rfam family "Bacterial small subunit ribosomal RNA", at positions 28 to 759 of the family's 1533-position model. The record is from RNAcentral. Lineage: Bacteria; Bacillati; Bacillota; Clostridia; Lachnospirales; Lachnospiraceae.